This 622-nucleotide long non-coding RNA is filed under the name Trifolium pratense (red clover). RNAcentral's name for it is "long non-coding RNA (TPRA_LNC014103)". The record is from RNAcentral. Lineage: Eukaryota; Viridiplantae; Streptophyta; Magnoliopsida; Fabales; Fabaceae.
CUUAACUAGCUAAAGUGUAAAAAUGAAAACGAGCAAGACGCGCGAGAAACACCGGGGACACUAAGACGGCUAAAUUUUCUCAUUCAAAAUCUAAACAGAAUGCAAAAGGAAAAAGAAAAACGAUAGUGAUGUCUUCACUUCUUUUUUUUUAUAACUAAAAUGACGUGUUCACUUUCAAGAGUUUAUAAACUAUAUAUACAUUUUUUCAACUAAUUGCAAGAGUAGACUUAGACUAGUAUUACCGAUCAUUAUUUGAUUUAGUGGCGAUUGAUACCGUAUUUGAUAGGGACAAUCACAAUUUGACCCUUUAUAACUGUGAUCGGGAGAGAACUAAAGUCACUUGAUGUUAGAACUUACUCUCCGAAUUUUGUAGCCCGAAUACCGGUGAUGAAAAAAACCAAAAAACUAGUACUAGUAUUAGAGACAAAAAAAAAUAACAACCAAAAAAGAAAUAGAAACUAUGGUACAUAUACUAAAGAGUUAUUUCCUUGCACCAUAGCUAGAAUAUCAUCAUUGAAAUGGAACACUUCAUUCCAUGUCAGCAUAUUUCCAAAAAAGGGCCCCACCCUUGUUGGACUCAUCAAUGGAGCAUCUUUCACAUCCCAAAACGACGUCGUAGNNN